CAGUGGUGAAUGGUUCUCGGUGACGCAGGCUCCUAAACAGUUGAACAGACGCUGCGCUGCCGGCCUACGUCAGGGGAGACCAAGCAAACAGCGCUGCGGGAACCUUGGCUUCCCAACCCGCGGCCUUGUCCCUGCUGCACUCAGCGUGGGCCUCAGGGUGGGUGCUGGAGGCUGCGGAAAGUGGAGAUCGUGUCCUGCUGGAUCCUCCUGCAGUGUUCAAGGAAGACUCAUGGAGGACAGGAGCCUGGAAGAGGAGAGAGUGUGAGAUGCCACUCUCUGGAAGCAGAGGACCUCAGACCAAGGCCCAGCAAAUGACUAUUCCUGCUUAGCACCCCUGGCAGGUCCUCUGGUGCAGGCCUUCCCAGUGGCUCCUGUCUUCAGUGCUGCUUGCCUGCUCCAUCAGGUAGCCUCUGGCUGAGGCUUCCACCCAGCAGCACCCAGCCAGGUAUUGUAAUUUUUCUGUCUGAGGAGUGUGGCCCUUCAAGAGCCAGAGUUCUGGCUUCAGACUACCUGGGUUCAAAUUCUGACUCAACGUCUUUUAGCAGAGACUCUUCAGCUUCCAGAAAGGAUCCCCCAGCCUUCAGACAUAGACUCUUCAGCCUCCUCAAACACACUCACAUGGGACACUGCAGUGAGAUCCAGACCUUGGACUGGGUCCUUUGGUCUCCAGUGCUGAGACAGACCCUCUGCACUCUUCCUCAUCUGACUCUGUGGGUGGCCAUUGCAAGCCAAUCUUGUAAAUUCAUAUAUAUUUGUGUAGCUUGUGUUUUAUCUGCUUCUCUAGUAAAUAUUGACUGAUACACUGUCUCCAGCAGGCCUCUUGCCUUCUACCCCACCCCACCCGCAUGUUCUGUUUUUUGGUGAG
Molecule: long non-coding RNA, 865 nt
Filed under: Heterocephalus glaber (naked mole-rat)
Lineage: Eukaryota; Metazoa; Chordata; Mammalia; Rodentia; Bathyergidae
Description: lncRNA (ENSHGLG00100046531.1)
Source: RNAcentral